UCCUUGGUGGUCCAGUGGCUUAAACUCUGCACUCCCAAUGCAGAGGGCAUGGGUUCAAUUCCUUGUCAAAGAA
This 73-nucleotide transfer RNA is filed under the name Capra hircus (goat). It matches the Rfam family "tRNA". From Rfam's summary of the family: Transfer RNA (tRNA) molecules are approximately 80 nucleotides in length. Their secondary structure includes four short double-helical elements and three loops (D, anti-codon, and T loops). RNAcentral also lists the same sequence under 1 other name. Lineage: Eukaryota; Metazoa; Chordata; Mammalia; Artiodactyla; Bovidae. The record is from Rfam by way of RNAcentral.